Mauremys reevesii (Reeves's turtle) is the source of this 1215-nucleotide long non-coding RNA. RefSeq lists it as uncharacterized. NCBI's taxonomy places the organism in Eukaryota, Metazoa, Chordata, Testudines, Geoemydidae. The transcript is spliced from 4 exons. The record is from RefSeq and is a predicted model, not a curated record.
GCCCCCUCCUGGGAUACCCCCAUCCCUAACUGCCCCCUUGAGACCCCACCCCCUAUCCAACUCUCCCUGUCCCCUGAUUCCUGUCCACACCCCUGACAGGCCCCCUGGGACGCCCAUGCCUAUCCACCCCACUCUGUUCCCAGUCCCCUGACUGCCCGAACCUCUGUCCUCUGGCUGCCACCCGGGUCACCCUGCCCCUUAUCUCUCCUCCCGCCCCUGGCUCCAUUACCAUGCUGCUCAGAGCAGCAGGAGCUUGCUGCCACUCUGCCCGGCAGGAGCGGCUGACCAGAGCACUGGUGGCAUGUUGAUCUGGGGUUGGGGGCUAGCAUCUGGGGCUGGGGGCUAGCAUCCCCAGCUGGGAGCUCAGAGGCUGGGCAGGGUGGUCCUGCAGGCUGUAGUUUGCCCACCUCUGCUGUAGGAGGAGGGGGGAGUGAAGAGAGUGGCAAACCCAGAGGCGUGAGGAAGGCCAGGAAAUAUGGAAGCAGCUCAGGAAAAGGCAGCAAGGUGUGGGGAACAGACCUUGGCUGCUGUGCAAAGGGUCCCUGAGCUGGAACCUGCAGCAGAGGGUGGGCCUGGGUUCCCCUCCCAACCAUUGCAGGAGUGGCCCUGUGAGGUAGUGAAAUGGAAGAGUGCCUGAGAUGGCUGGAGAGCAGGAACCUUGCUAUCCUUUCCCUGGAUGAGGAAACCACCAUAGUGACCUGGCUGGAGGCCUGAGUCACAGAGAAGAUGCUGGAGUGCGAGGGGAGGCUGUAGAGGAGAAACUGAAAGGAGGUAACCUCUGGAAGGAGCAUCAGCCUGAUGGAGCUAAUCCCCAGAACCAUGAGGAGGUGGCACUGUCUGGUGAAUCUCUGAUGUUUUGGCUGAUAAAUGAGCACUAGAUUAGUCUACAACUGCAACUUCUUAUGCCAUGGUCCUGUCAGAUUUGACAACUAAGAAGCAUCAAGCUAGGUAAUUCAGGAGCAUGCUCGGUGUGGCUGCUGACCUCCAAUCCAAAAGGGCUCAUCCAGGAUGGGCUGGCCAGGCACCAGAAAUCUCCUGAGAACAGCCAAGAAAGUGUCCAGUUUGCAUAAAUGGUUGGAUACAAAUCUGAACCUCAGAAUUGAACAUGUUGUUUCGGUGCCUCAGAACAAUCCUCGCUCCUGCCUAGCUGGACUGGGACAAGGGAACAAGGCAUGUUAACAGCGUGGUGAUGCCGAGCUCACGCACAGAUGUGGC